CCUACGGGAGGCAGCAGUGGGGAAUAUUGCACAAUGGGGGAAACCCUGAUGCAGCGACGCCGCGUGAGUGAAGAAGUAUCUCGGUACGUAAAGCUCUAUCAGCAGGAAAGAAAAUGACGGUACCUGACUAAGAAGCCCCGGCUAACUACGUGCCAGCAGCCGCGGUAAUACGUAGGGGGCAAGCGUUAUCCGGAUUUACUGGGUGUAAAGGGAGCGUAGACGGCGCUGCAAGUCCGGAGGGAAAGCCCAUGGCUUAACCAUGGUACUGCUCUGGAAACUGUAGAGCUUGAGUGCGGGAGGGGCAGGCGGAAGUCCUAGUGUAGCGGUGAAAUGCGUAGAUAUUAGGAGGAACACCGGCGGCGAAGGCGGCCUGCUGGACCGUAACUGACGUUGAGGCUCGAAAGCGCGGGGAGCAAACAGGAUUAGAUACCCCAGUAGUC
RNAcentral lists this ribosomal RNA (440 nucleotides) under uncultured bacterium. RNAcentral's name for it is "partial 16S ribosomal RNA". It matches the Rfam family "Bacterial small subunit ribosomal RNA", at positions 338 to 795 of the family's 1533-position model. The record is from RNAcentral.